Transfer RNA from Termitomyces sp. J132, 93 nucleotides. It matches the Rfam family "tRNA". Rfam says of the family: Transfer RNA (tRNA) molecules are approximately 80 nucleotides in length. Their secondary structure includes four short double-helical elements and three loops (D, anti-codon, and T loops). The record is from Rfam. Lineage: Eukaryota; Fungi; Basidiomycota; Agaricomycetes; Agaricales; Lyophyllaceae.
GCCAAUGUGGCUCAAUGGUAGAGCAUCGCUUUCCUACCAUAUGGGAGGCAUACUUUGAGGCGAAGGUUGCGGGUUCGAUCCCCGUCAUUGGUU